Long non-coding RNA from Achroia grisella, 520 nucleotides. RefSeq lists it as uncharacterized. The transcript has 3 exons. The record is from RefSeq and is a predicted model, not a curated record. Lineage: Eukaryota; Metazoa; Arthropoda; Insecta; Lepidoptera; Pyralidae.
CAUUAAUGUCAAAAGAGAAAUUAUAAAACUCUCAUAUUCAUUUACUUAAUUUGCUAAACGAUAAUCAACUUAGAGGAAGGUUUAUUUACAAAAAACUUGUUGGUUACAAACUAUUAGAGGUUUAAUGUGUAUACACAAAUGCAAAUUGUUUGCAUUUAAUAAUAAUAAUUGGUAAAUUUAAAAAUAAUUUAUGACUGCAAUUACCAUAGGUGCUUUUUUUGUAGUCUAUACCCAGACAUAAAAAAUUACAUUAUACAUUAAAUUGGUCCACUACGAAUUCUGUCAUAACAAAUAGAAGAUGUCUGAAAUAUCACAGAGCUCUAAAAAGAUGAUAGUGGUACGGAAAAUUGGUGUAAAGAUAAAAAAAGAAAUGCCUGAUGAGAAUGAGUUUCCAGGGUACUGCAGGGAGGUCAAUCUAACAUGAUACAUAGCUAGCAAUGGAGCUGGUAUAUCUCAUUACUAACAAUCCCCUCCCCUCUGGCAAAAGAAGAGAAAUCAAAAUUAUAGGCUGAUGACAUGA